CACUCAUGACAACAAGACCUGUGGUUUCAUGGCUGACAUAAUUUGAACAUAAUUCAUUGAAUAAUCACGGAUAUGACAAAAUUGGCUGCAUCAGAAAAUGCCAAAGCGAGGAUGCAAAGAAUAUAAAUGUGAGAUAUUAAUCAGCCAGUCAAAAAACAUAACCGAUCUACCGGAACCUGAAACCAGGGGAUUAUUUGUCAUUAAAGAAUGCAAUGUUGUUAUUUACAUUGGCCAAUCACAAGACUGUAUACGGGAGAGAAUACUAAGCCACUUAGGAGGCUAUGAUGCUCAAGACAUUGGUGAAUACCUGAAAGAUAUGGAUAGCGACGAAAAAGAUAGAAAUAUUUCAAUAGCUUGGGUAGAAAUCAUAAGACCUCGCUGUGAUGAACAUCACUAUAUCAAAUGCAUUGAAAAACGACAAGGGAAAUGGCCAAGGUUUAACAGAAAGCGUGGCAGACCUAAAAAGACGCCAUACAGCGCGAAAUCUUGACUUUUAUAUACAUAUAUACUAAAUAUCAGAAUAUUUGUUUAAAAAUGCUUCACAUUAGUUUUUGUCAUAAACGAUAAGAUUUGGAUAACGACAAAAAGAGAUGAAAAUUCAAAUAUCAUUAUUAGACCUAGCUGCAAUUUACAGAUGUAACCCUUUCAUUCGAUUCGCCCCCAAAUAAGGUAAACGUACUAUUCACACAUUAAUAGGGUUGUUUAGAUACCUAACUACCCAAGCUACUGAUGUAAGUUGGUUUAAAGUCAUUAUUGAUUAUAAGCUCAUUUAGGCCAUUGCAUUAAUAUCUUUUCACAUUUAAAAAACAAAUGCGUAUAUUGAAAUGUCAGCCGUAUUAGUUUUAUCGCAUUGUUAAUCCACCAUGUACUCAACAGAAAAAGUUAAGGACACCCAUUUGAAAUUUUCCAUUAAAAUUGUAUUACAGUUCCUCUGACUGUGCAAAUCAUGGACUUUAAAGUGAUACUUUUAAACAUAGUUUUCUUUGGUUAUUGACAACUGGUAUUAACGUAUUAAAGAGUAAUGUUCCUAUCGGAAUAUCUUCCUCGUAAAUGCAGUAAUGAUAGUCAAAUGGUGUAAGGAUCCACUGAAAUUAACAAAACAAUGUCAAUGCCUUACACAUAGGUCUUGCAGCAGGAAUCUUAAUAGGGGGUCUAGAAAGUUAACAAUUAUACGUCCCUAGUCGUUAGGUAAUAAAAGAAAAGCAUUCGUCAUAUAAAAAUUUAUUAAGUUUAAAGAAUUCAUUAUAUAUACACCAAGACGGUCACGUUAAUCUGUUAAUCUGCGUGAUUUAAAAAUACUUAUAGACUCAGGUCAACAUGUUUAUAAGUUAUACAAAUCAUUUAGGAAGGAAAAUACGUUUAGUUACUAUUUGUUUUCUUAGUUGUAAUAAGGAAAGUCACAAAAAUUGAAUAUUAUAUUGCAAUUCUCAAGCCCUGAUAUCAGAGAAACGGAUCAUUUAUAUUUAUCUAUGCUAAACUUUUAUGCACUUACCAAAUUCAGAUCGUUGAUAAGGAGAGUUAAAAAUAUACCCCAUUCUUGUAUAUUCAGUAGUACUUUAAUACCACAGAAAAUGUUUGUCAGAUUCUUUAUUUUGUUGCAUUUCUACGAUGAAACAGAGAACAGUAAGGAUCUUUCUAAAAGCCUCACAAAGUUUAUCAAAUAUAAAAAUAAGAAGAUGUGGUAUGAUUGCCAAUGAGACAACUCUCAACAAGAGACCAAAUGACAUAUAAGUUAACAACUAUAGGUCACCGUACGGCCUUAAAUAAAUAGCUUUUCCACACAUCAUAUGCAAAGAAAACGUUUUUGAAAGAAUCACCCCAUGCAAACUGCUUUUGCUGUAACAGACUGUCUUUAAUAUUUGUAUUACAAAAUGUUUUCUUUACCAAAAAUCAAAGGACAGGUACGAUAAAGCGAUUGAUCUAUUGACUGAAACUAAAUCAUGUACAGCAGUAUUACAUCAUAUAUAAUUUGAACAAUUCAAAUUUUGAUAGUUGGAUGAAAGGUUUUUUAGUUUUCAAUACCAAAACCUUGUUACUGGUUUAAUCAUAUUAUUGCCUGUAGAGUCCAUGUAAAUCCUUUCAAAGGCAUGCUUGUAUCGAAUAUAUUGAACUUGAAACUUGAAACUUGUCUUUAUGUAUUUCAAGUUAUCAAAUAAAAUCUUGAAAAAACUCCUGACCUAAAUUUUGAACAUAAUGUUUAUGUUGUAUACUUUUAUCAGAUCUAUAUACCAAUAUGACAGUACGUUUUAAAUCCAUCAACCUUUGACACUUAGUCUAGCAUACAAACAACAAAACUCCAUUACAUGUCUCCAAAUAUUUUAGAUUUGCAAGUUUAUUUGAUUUCGAACACAGAACUACUAAUAAUUAUAUGUUUGGAAUGCGCCGGAGCCUUCUGGCGCUUUAAAUUAAAUUCGCCGCAUCAUGUGAUUUGCACAAACAAUUCUUUUAUUCAUGACAGGUAUCACAUGAAAUUCUAUCAUUCUUCUUCGCCUAAAGAUAGUUAUAACAACAAUGGUAUAAAACAUUGAUUUCAUGAUAUAAUACAUGUAUUUUGUUUGCAUCAGUCAUGUAUGUUAAAAGGUAUGGCCAAUUUCCCCUGCGUUUGUUUCACACCAGGGACAUUUUCCAAUGGUCCUCCAAUCUUUACUUCGUAGAUUGAUAUGUAGUCGUUUGAAUCUUAUAGUUUUAUAUUUCCACUUUUGAUAAAAAUGGAGAUAGCUAUAUAUUUGAUAUCCAAGUGUUAUUUAUGGUCUAUCUCCCUAUAAAACUACUGGUAUAGUACGAGAUUUCUACACUCUAUACAACUACCGGUACAAUACCAGAUUUCUACACUGUAUACAACUACCGGUAUAAUAUGAGAUUUCUACAAUCUACGAGUUUUUGUCAGAAAUACACUGUUCUAUCUCCACACUCCCAUAAAAGCUUAUUCGUCUAGUAAGUUCAGAGAACAAUAUUUUUAUAAUGUUGUAUCUCCACUAUUUUUCAUGUAUUUUGCUGUUAACUAUUUUUUUAUCAAAAUCAUCUUAUGGGCAAUUCUUAGCAAAUUAAGCUGUCCAGAAUAGGGGAUAUUACACAGUUAAUAAAUCCAGGGUCUAUCUCCAAUAGAAAUAUAGGGAUGAAUUUCUAAAACAACAUUGCUUGUGAGAAGUGUUCUCUCUCUCCAAAAAGGGGAUGGUUUAUUUAUUUAAGUUGCUUGUCUUUUAAAAAAACAAUUGAACAAAGAGUAACUCUUUAUGUAUACGUAAAUUCGAUUCUUAUAUAACUUUUUAUCAUGUCUCAGUCAAAUAUUUAUGAUAUUGCACUUUUAAACUUCAUAUUCAAUUUCAAAACAGUUAGAAAAUGGAGAAAUACAUCAUUAUAAGAUUCACACGUGGAUGUGUAUAUGUUUGAACAACAUUUUGGCGUUAUUUCUGAACUUGUGACCAUAAUUAAAAUUUAUUUUGAAAUUAUUCCAUAUAUUGUCUUUCAGAAGAACUAGAAAUGUUUUGGUUAAUUUUAUCCUUCGAUUCAAAAUUUACAUAACCAUGUAAACCGGUCACUAAGGGUUGUCUUGGACAGUGUGAAAUUUUUGCUCAAUGUUGGAGACCCCGUUGUGAACCUGAGACUAGGAACAGCAAUACAAGCACUAUUUCUUAGCAGAAAAUAUAACAUUAAUAUUGAUUUCCUGGAAUACCAAUCUAUACUGCAUAUGAUACCGAAAGCUUGGAAAGAUCUAACUGCUUCAGAGAAAUAAAAUGCAUAUCAACUGAAAAAAUUGAAUUUAUUAAAAAUAAUAAAAAAGCAUGUCAAUUCUUUUAUAUAAAAAAAACUUUUCAAGGUAUACAGAAGGUCCUACAAAACAAGAAGAACAAAUGUGUAAAGAACUGAACACUCAUAUAGAAAAUUGAGAUUUCAUUUUUAGUUUAUUCUUUUGUUGUAAUAAAAACUACAAAUUUAGUAUGUUCCAGUUUAAAAUUUUACAUGUAACUCUUGCUACAAAUGCAUUAUUGUAUAAAUGUAGGUUAAAAAAACAAUUUAUGUAGUUUCUGUAAUGAAACUAAGGAAACUAUGGGUAAUCUUUCCUGUGAAUGUACUCCAGUUAGACAUUUAUGGAUAGAAAUUUCAGCACUCUUUCAAAAUAAAUGUAAUUUGACUAUGAUAUUAAAUGCAAAAGUAUUUGUUCUUGGGUCAGAGUCAUGGGAUGUAUUCACUGUUCUGGUUACAUGUCCUUUCAUUGUCAACUCUUACAGGUGCAAUUAGUAUUAUUAAAAAUACCUACCAAAUAGAAAAAAAAUAUCUACCUCCUCUUACAGAUCACCAAAAGCAAGAAAGUAAUUUGAGAGUUAAUGGAAAUGGACUAAAAACUUAGUUUAUAUGUGAGGAGAGAUAUAUCCGUUUGUAAUCAUCUAAGGCAUUAUAAUAAUUCAUGUAGAAUUAAUAAUAUGAUGCACAUCAUAAUUGUACAUUGGUUUAUGUGUAUUAUUGCAUUGAUAUCGAUUAUGUAUAUUGAUAUUGUUAUUAAUAUAGUUUUAUAUAUA
Molecule: long non-coding RNA, 4517 nt
Organism: Mytilus californianus (California mussel)
Lineage: Eukaryota; Metazoa; Mollusca; Bivalvia; Mytilida; Mytilidae
Exons: 2
Source: RefSeq, a predicted model, not a curated record